UGCACGGUGGCGCAGUUGGUAGCACUGUUGCCUUGCAGGCAAGAAGGUCCUGGGUUCGAUUCCCGGCCGGGGGUCUUUCUGCAU
Molecule: non-coding RNA, 84 nt
Organism: Crenichthys baileyi (White River springfish)
Lineage: Eukaryota; Metazoa; Chordata; Actinopteri; Cyprinodontiformes; Goodeidae
Source: the annotation of a GenBank genome assembly